CCAGACUCCUACGGGACGCAGCAGUGGGGAAUAUUGCACAAUGGGGGAAACCCUGAUGCAGCAACGCCGCGUGAGUGAGGAAGUAUUUCGGUAUGUAAAGCUCUAUCAGCAGGGAAUAGAAAAGAAGGUACCUGAAAAAGAAGCCCCGGCUAACUACGUGCCAGCAGCCGCGGUAAUACGUAGGGGGCAAGCGUUAUCCGGAUUUACUGGGUGUAAAGGGAGCGUAGACGGAAAGGCAAGUCAGAAGUGAAAGCCCAAGGCUCAACCAUGGGACUGCUCUUGGAACUGCAUGGCUGGAGUACAGGAGGGGCAGGCGGAAUUCCUAGUGUAGCGGUGAAAUGCGUAGAUAUUAGGAGGAACACCGGUGGCGAAGGCGGCCUGCUGGACUGUGACUGACGUUGAGGCCCGAAGGCGUGGGGAGCAAACAGGAUUAGAUACCCCUGUAUC
This 447-nucleotide ribosomal RNA is filed under the name uncultured bacterium. RNAcentral's name for it is "partial 16S ribosomal RNA". It matches the Rfam family "Bacterial small subunit ribosomal RNA", at positions 331 to 794 of the family's 1533-position model. The record is from RNAcentral.